ACACAAAAACUUUUCUCUCUCCCUGACACAUACCUCAAUUUUCGCCAUCUCUUCCUUCCACGUCUUUUCCCACCGCCAAGUCGCCGUUCACUGGAUUUGCUCCACCGCCAAGUCACCGGCCGCGUAUCUCCCACCACCACCACGUUCUCUGCUCCUCUCAUCGAGAUGUCGUGGAUCGAUUGAGCUACGAAUUAAAGAACAUUGAAGUGGUUGCAGCUCUCGGAGAUUGGGGCCACCGGUUUCAGGGUCUUGAAGUUUCUGAAACCCUUUUGGAGAAAGUUGAGAACUUUGGCCUUGUCUUGCUCAUUGGUUUUUUUCUCUGGCCAAAUCAAGGUUGUGGAGCCCAUAGUUCCAGUUAUUUUUCAACACACAAAGGCAACCACUUCCAUAUAGAGAAACAGGCAGUGGGAUCCAUUAUUGUCGGACAGUCGGACUGUAAGUUCAUUUUCUUUCUAUAUCACCUUUGAUCGAUCUAACUUACCAUUUAAUUCACUUUGUUCACAGUAGACUUGAAACAAUAUUUUGAUUAUGCAGAUAGAUUUUCUGUAGACCCCAAUGGUGGUAUUCCUAAUAAUCAUCAACCGAAUGGCCCUUCUGAAGUAUGCGAACCAACAUAGAGUCCUCUACGUUAUGGAAUUUGUGAUGAUUGUAUCAACCACCACCUUUCAAGUGGCCAUGCUGGUCAUAGUAAUGGGGUUUCAGUUCCAGCUGGAAACCUGGGAAUUCCUAGCGCUGAUGUUAAUGCCAUUCCCAGUGAUUUCAUAAUUCCUCCUGCCGGUUUUGAUGGUGUACAGAAUGACAUAAGAAUGCCAACGGCCACCUAUACAAAUGAGCAGGAAAUCAUCGUCGUGAGUGCUACAUCCAUGUAGGAUAGAGACAGGUUUUGGAGGAUGCGUGAGUGCUACAUCCAUGGAAAUACUACUAAGUAUCUGCGAGUUCCUGAUGGGGUAGUUCCUAGAGUCGUUGCCCUCGUAUAUCAGGUGAUUGAGCAGUAAAGAGAACUAGAUGAUUUGGUAUAUAUUUUCAGAUUAUGUGGGUUUAAGUUGUAGAGUUGAAGUUUGAUGUAAUGUAAUCUGCUACUUAUACAUUUUCAAAUAUUGUCAUGCAUUUUGUAAAAGAAAUUAAUUAUAAUUUGAUUAAAUUGUUUCUCAUUCA
Long non-coding RNA from Rosa rugosa (rugosa rose), 1155 nucleotides. RefSeq lists it as uncharacterized. Lineage: Eukaryota; Viridiplantae; Streptophyta; Magnoliopsida; Rosales; Rosaceae. The record is from RefSeq and is a predicted model, not a curated record. The transcript is spliced from 4 exons.